This 167-nucleotide ribosomal RNA is filed under the name Oligolepis acutipennis (sharptail goby). Its description in RNAcentral is "partial 12S ribosomal RNA". The record is from RNAcentral. Lineage: Eukaryota; Metazoa; Chordata; Actinopteri; Gobiiformes; Gobiidae.
CACCGCGGUUAUACGAGAGGCCCAAGUUGACAAAUGCCGGCGUAAAAUGUGGUUAUUACAGUAUUUCACUAAAGCCAAACAUCUUCAAAGCUGUCAUACGCUCUCGAAGAGAGGAAGAUCCCCCACGAAAGUGGCUUUAAUAUAUAUGAACCACGAAAGCUAGGAAA